RNAcentral lists this ribosomal RNA (452 nucleotides) under Priestia megaterium. RNAcentral describes it as "bacterial SSU rRNA". It matches the Rfam family "Bacterial small subunit ribosomal RNA", at positions 78 to 516 of the family's 1533-position model. The record is from RNAcentral. Lineage: Bacteria; Bacillati; Bacillota; Bacilli; Caryophanales; Bacillaceae.
UUGCUUCUAUGACGUUAGCGGCGGACGGGUGAGUAACACGUGGGCAACCUGCCUGUAAGACUGGGAUAACUUCGGGAACCGAAGCUAAUACCGGAUAGGAUCUUCUCCUUCAUGGGAGAUGAUUGAAAGAUGGUUUCGGCUAUCACUUACAGAUGGGCCCGCGGUGCAUUAGCUAGUUGGUGAGGUAACGGCUCACCAAGGCAACGAUGCAUAGCCGACCUGAGAGGGUGAUCGGCCACACUGGGACUGAGACACGGCCCAGACUCCUACGGGAGGCAGCAGUAGGGAAUCUUCCGCAAUGGACGAAAGUCUGACGGAGCAACGCCCGCGUGAGUGAUGAAGGCUUUCGGGUCGUAAAACUCUGUUGUUAGGGAAGAACAAGUACGAGAGUAACUGCUCGUACCUUGACGGUACCUAACCAGAAAGCCACGGCUAACUACGUGCCAGCAGCC